AGAGAAUAGAUACCCUGGUAGUCCACGCCCUAAACGAUGUCGACUGGUUGUUGGGGGUUUGACACUCUCAGUAAACGAAAGCUAAACGCGUGAAGUCGACCGCCUGGGGAGUACGGCCGCAAGGUUAAAACUCAAAGGAAUUGACGGGGACCCGCACAAGCGGUGGAUUAUGUGGAUUAAUUCGAUGCAACGCGAAAAACCUUACCUACCCUUGACAUGUCCUGAAUCCUGGAGAGAUCCGGGGGUGCCCGAAAGGGAACGGGAACACAGGUGCUGCAUGGCUGUCGUCAGCUCGUGUCGUGAGAUGUUGGGUUAAGUCCCGCAACGAGCGCAACCCUUGUCAUUAGUUGCUACCGCAAGGAGCACUCUAAUGAGACUGCCGGUGACAAACCGGAGGAAGGUGGGGAUGACGUCAAGUCCUCAUGGCCCUUAUGGGUAGGGCUUCACACGUAAUACAAUGGUCGGUACAGAGGGUUGCCAAGCCGCGAGGCGGAGCCAAUCCCAGAAAGCCGAUCGUAGUCCGGAUCGCAGUCUGCAACUCGACUG
RNAcentral lists this ribosomal RNA (546 nucleotides) under uncultured bacterium. Its description in RNAcentral is "bacterial SSU rRNA". It matches the Rfam family "Bacterial small subunit ribosomal RNA", at positions 774 to 1318 of the family's 1533-position model. The record is from RNAcentral.